Molecule: long non-coding RNA, 1468 nt
Filed under: Callithrix jacchus (white-tufted-ear marmoset)
Lineage: Eukaryota; Metazoa; Chordata; Mammalia; Primates; Cebidae
Description: lncRNA (ENSCJAG00000071211.1)
Source: RNAcentral
AACAAUAUUAACUGAAAUGUUCAUAAAGUCAUCAAGUUUAUAUACCUCCUUUUAAAAAUAUUAUUUGAGAGGUGGGAGAAUCAUUUGAGCCCAGGAGUUCAAGACCAUCCUGGGCAACAUAGCAAGGCCCCAUCUCUAAAUUAAAAAAAAUAAAAAUUAAAAUGUCAUUUGAUCCUGGAAGUCUCACACAUUAUAAAGGAAAUAUUUAAAUAAGGCUCUUUAGGUUACUUGAAACACUCUUUGGCUUGGCUUAGCUUGGCUGAAAUGAACAUUGUAUUAUGUUGAAGAGUACUUUGUUCUGCUAAUAUAUAAUAUUAUAUAUGUACUACUGCUUUAUGAAUUAAUUGUUUCAUGGAUGUUGGCUUAUAUCCGCAACUAGGUUAAAAAUAGCAGUGGGCAGGAGCUGUGUCUUAUAUUCCUUUUGUAUUCUCCAUGGUAUCGAACAUAAUGUGAAAAUAAGGCUGCAUUUGGAAAGAAGAGGAAAAACACAAGACCAGUGAGAGAGAAAGCACCAGAGAAUGAAAAUCUGAAAGGAGACUAGGGAUGCUUCAGCCUAGAAGAACAAUCUAGGGCUGGACUUAAAGGUCUGAGGUCUGAAGACCCUGCAACAUGUCCCCUUCCAAAAGAAGCUGUUACAGGUCUGGGUCUCAGCUCCUGAGGACCGUCUCCCAGAUUUCUGAGGCACCAGCAUUAUCAGAGCAACAGUCGCUCCUCAGAGGUCUGAAUUCCCGUCUGUAGCGACCCACUCUCCAAGCCUAGUCUUGCUCUCGUUGCUCAGGCUGGAGUGCAGUGGUGCAAUCUCAACUCACUGCAACCUCUGCCUCCCGGGUUCAAGUGAUUCUCCUGCCUCAGCCUCCUGAGUAGCUGGGAUUACAGGUACCCACCACCACACCUGGCUAAUUUUUGUACUUUUUAGUAGAGAUGGGGUCUUGCCAUGUUAACCAGGCUGGUCUCUAACUCCUGACCUCAGGUGAUCUGCCCACCUUGGCCUCCCAAAGUGUGCCUGACCUUAAUUAAUUUAUUUUUAAAAACUCUUUUCAAAACUCAAGAUCACUAAAUUCUCCUAUUGUAGAAAUGUUAUAGUUUUGGCUCGUAUAUUUAAGGAUUCAUUUUGAGUUAAAUUUAGUGGAUAUUGUGAGAUAAAGAUUCAGGUUUUGUGGUUUUUUUUUUUUUUUUUUUUUGGAACUGACACUCCAGUUGUUUCAGAACCAUUUCUUUGAAUGAUUAUCUCUUUUUUUUUUUUUUGAGAUGGAGUUUCAUUCUUGUUACCCAGGCUGGAGCGCAAUGGUGAGAUCUCGGCUCACCGCAACCUCCACCUCCUGGGUUCAAGCAAUUCUCCCGCCUCAGCCUCCUGAGUAGCUGGGAUUACAGGCACGCGCCACCAUGCCCAGCUAAUUUUUUUUGUAUUUUUAGUAGAGACGAGGUUUCACCAUGUUGACCAGGAUGGUCUCGAUCUCUUGGCCUCAUG